UACGUAGGGGGCAAGCGUUGUCCGGAAUCAUUGGGCGUAAAGAGCGUGUAGGCGGCUCGGUAAGUCCGCUCUGAAAGCCCGGGGCUCAACCCCGGGAGGCGGGCGGAUACUGUCGGGCUAGAGUCCGGAAGAGGAGAGUGGAAUUCCUGGUGUAGCGGUGAAAUGCGCAGAUAUCAGGAGGAACACCCGUGGCGAAAGCGGCUCUCUGGGACGGUACUGACGCUGAGACGCGAAAGCGUGGGGAGCAAACAGG
This 253-nucleotide ribosomal RNA is filed under the name uncultured bacterium. RNAcentral describes it as "partial 16S ribosomal RNA". It matches the Rfam family "Bacterial small subunit ribosomal RNA", at positions 524 to 776 of the family's 1533-position model. The record is from RNAcentral.